This 270-nucleotide ribosomal RNA is filed under the name uncultured archaeon. Its description in RNAcentral is "partial 16S ribosomal RNA". It matches the Rfam family "Archaeal small subunit ribosomal RNA", at positions 477 to 747 of the family's 1478-position model. The record is from RNAcentral.
CAGCACCUCAAGUGGUCAGGAUGAUUAUUGGGCCUAAAGCAUCCGUAGCCGGCGCUGUAAGUUUUCGGUUAAAUCUGUACGCUCAACGUACAGGCUGCCGGGAAUACUGCAGCGCUAGGGAGUGGGAGAGGUAGACGGUACUCGGUAGGAAGGGGUAAAAUCCUUUGAUCUAUUGAUGACCACCUGUGGCGAAGGCGGUCUACCAGAACACGUCCGACGGUGAGGGCUGAAAGCUGGGGGAGCAAACCGGAUUAGAUACCCGAGUAGUCC